Long non-coding RNA from Dryobates pubescens (Downy woodpecker), 714 nucleotides. RefSeq lists it as uncharacterized. Lineage: Eukaryota; Metazoa; Chordata; Aves; Piciformes; Picidae. The transcript is spliced from 3 exons. The record is from RefSeq and is a predicted model, not a curated record.
UUCUUCUUCCACAAGAAAAUGGCCUGCAGAGAACUUGAAGCCAAUUUUUAUUUAGUCUGUUUUUAACUAUCUUAAUCCAAACAGGCAAAGAUUUUUGUCACUCUGGAGCUGAGGAUGCUUUCAUACUGCCCCAAACAUACUGCUUGUGUGCUUGCAUUUAGAGAGCAAACACUUAAUUCAGAGGAGAUUUAGGUUUGUUUUGAGUACACACAAAUUUAAGAGAGAUGUACUUAAUUAUCCUUUUGUCACUGUUCCUGUUAAUACCUUUAAAGCAAAUAUUAUUAGUUGAUGAGAAGAGGCUGCCAAUCUUCAGCAAAAUGAGCUCUAGAAUGGUGCUGUAUUGAAAAUGUUAGGUUUUGACCUUUAUGUUGUUUUCCAGGCAAACUUGUUUUCUUUAACUGGAAGAGAAUUUAUUUGCUGCACUUCUGGAAACUUCUGAAACCAUUCUUUUCAACUCACUGCAUGCUACAAUAACUUCACCUGAAAGAAAAUCUGAGUGAGGCAGAAGAAUUAAGGCUGCCUCAGACACCCCUGUGAGAUAUUUUAGAGAAAACAAGAUAAUCCAGCUUGGAAACAGAAGGAAAUGCAAAACAUCUGCUGUGAACACCACCUUCUGCUUUGGGGUGGGUCUCCAGCCUUUAGCAAUGCCUCAGUAAGGGAUUCUGCUGGCCCAUGAGAAAUCACCUUGAGCAGAUCACCCAAAUCCUCUGUCUU